AGGGGCGGUGCCAGACGCCCUGAAGGAGGGCCGGGCUGACUGCGGGCUGUGGUUGCCGCCCGCGAGGGAGGGGUUGGGCGGAGGAGGCCGGGCUCAACUUUGACAGGAGCGAGCGAGGGAGGGAAGGAAGGCAGGAAGGCGCCGCUGCCGGGGCUGCGUUCGCUGUGCGCAGGUAGUUGUGAUGGUGCAUGAUGCAAAGCAGUGAUCUUCAGGAAGCAAGCAAGAUAUCAUCAUAUCAUCCAUACUGCUUGCAAUUAACCCAUCUCAUCCUGAACAAGGAAACUAUGAAUAUUACAUUGAAAAGUUAAAGCACUAAGAAAGAUCAUUACUGGAAACUGUUGCUUCAGGGAAAGAACCAUGUGGGUGAACAGUUUAUUUCUUGUCAGCAAUAAU
This 393-nucleotide long non-coding RNA is filed under the name Gallus gallus (chicken). Its description in RNAcentral is "long non-coding RNA NONGGAT001306". The record is from RNAcentral. Lineage: Eukaryota; Metazoa; Chordata; Aves; Galliformes; Phasianidae.